This 468-nucleotide ribosomal RNA is filed under the name uncultured bacterium. RNAcentral's name for it is "partial 16S ribosomal RNA". It matches the Rfam family "Bacterial small subunit ribosomal RNA", at positions 28 to 507 of the family's 1533-position model. The record is from RNAcentral.
GACGAACGCUGGCGGCGUGCUUAACACAUGCAAGUCGAACGGAAAGGCCCUGCUUUUGUGGGGUGCUCGAGUGGCGAACGGGUGAGUAACACGUGAGUAACCUGCCCUUGACUUUGGGAUAACUUCAGGAAACUGGGGCUAAUACCGGAUAGGAGCUCCUGCUGCAUGGUGGGGGUUGGAAAGUUUCGGCGGUUGGGGAUGGACUCGCGGCUUAUCAGCUUGUUGGUGGGGUAGUGGCUUACCAAGGCUUCGACGGGUAGCCGGCCUGAGAGGGUGACCGGCCACAUUGGGACUGAGAUACGGACCAGACUCCUACGGGAGGCAGCAGUGGGGAAUAUUGCACAAUGGGCGGAAGCCUGAUGCAGCAACGCCGCGUGCGGGAUGACGGCCUUCGGGUUGUAAACCGCUUUCGCCUGUGACGAAGCGUGAGUGACGGUAAUGGGUAAAGAAGCACCGGCUAACUACGUG